Molecule: ribosomal RNA, 676 nt
Filed under: uncultured Haplosporidia
Lineage: Eukaryota; Endomyxa; Ascetosporea; Haplosporida
Description: SSU rRNA
Rfam family: Eukaryotic small subunit ribosomal RNA
Source: RNAcentral
GGACUCGGGGGGAAGUAUGCUCGCAAGAGUGAAACUUAAAGGAAUUGACGGAAGGGCACCACCAGAUGUGGAGCCUGCGGCUCAAUCUGACUCAACACGGGAAAACUUACCAGGUCAAGACAUAGUCAGGAUUGACAGAUUGAAGUUCUUUCUUGAUUCUAUGCAUGGUGGUGCAUGGCCGUUCUUAGUCGGUGGAGUGAUUUGUCAGGCUAAUUCCGAUAACGGACGAGACCUCAGCUUUCUAAAUAGUCGCAGCUAAUCCGUUAGCUAUCUUACGAACGCGACUUCUUAGAGGGACAAUCUGCUUCCAGCAGACGGAAGAUUGAGGCAAUAACAGGUCAGUGAUGCCCUUAGAAGCUCUGGGCUGCACGCGCGCUACAAUAGCUCAAUCAAUAAGUAAAGCCUUUUUCGAAAGAAAUGGGUAAUCUAUAAAUCGAGCUUGAGUGGGGAUAGAAGAUUGCAAUUGUUCUUCUUGAACAAGGAAUAUCUAGUAAACGCGAGUCAUCAACUCGCAUUGAUUACGUCCCUGCCCUUUGUACACACCGCCCGUCGCUUCUACCGAUUGAAUAAUCAGGUGAACCGAGUGGAUUACUGUUUUUUCACAGUAAAAAGCUUUGUAAAUCUUAUUAUUUAGAGGAAGACAAGUCGUACAAGGAAGGGCGAAUUCCACAUUGGG